RNAcentral lists this small nuclear RNA (93 nucleotides) under Neotoma lepida (desert woodrat). The record is from RNAcentral. Lineage: Eukaryota; Metazoa; Chordata; Mammalia; Rodentia; Cricetidae.
GUGCUCUCCUCGGCAGCACAGAUUCUAAAACUGGAACGGAACAGAGAAGAUUAGCAUGGCCCCUGCACAAGGAUGACACGCAAAUUCAUAAAA